Molecule: long non-coding RNA, 1199 nt
Filed under: Zonotrichia albicollis (white-throated sparrow)
Lineage: Eukaryota; Metazoa; Chordata; Aves; Passeriformes; Passerellidae
Description: lncRNA (ENSZALG00000001719.1)
Source: RNAcentral
CAUGGGCAUGGUCAACGUGGGCAUGGUCAACGUCAAUGGCGUGGUCAACAUGGGCAUGGUCAACGUCAAUGGUGUGGUCAACAUCAAUGGCAUGGUCAACGUCAAUGGUGUGGUCAACAUCAAUGGCAUGGUCAACGUCAAUGGCAUGGUCAACAUGGGCAUGGUCAAUGUCAAUGGCAUGGUCAACAUGGACAUGGUCUAUGUCAAUGGUGGGGUCAUCAUGGCCAUGGUCAGCGUCAAUGGUGUGGUCAACAUGGGCAUGGUCAACGUGGGCAUGGUCAACGUCAAUGGUGUGGUCAACAUCAAUGGCAUGGUCAAUGUCAAUGGUGUGGUCAUCAUGGCCAUGGUCAAUGUCAAUGGUGUGGUCAACUUGGCAAUGGUCAAUGUGGCCAUGGUUAACGUCAAUGGUGUGGUCAACUUGGCCAGGGUCAACGUCAAUGGUGUGGUCAACAUCAAUGGCAUGGUCAAUGUCAAUGGUGUGGUCAACUUGGCAGUGGUCAAGGUGGACGUGGUCGACGUCAAUGGCGUGGUCAACAUGGCCAUGGUCAACGUGGACAUGGUCAAUGUCAAUGGCAUGGUCAACAUGGGCAUGGUCAACAUGGGCAUGGUCAACGUGGCAUGGUCAACAUGGACAUGGUCUAUGUCAAUGGCGUGGUCAACAUGGCCAUGGUCAACGUGGACAUGGUCAAUGUCAAUGGCAUGGUCAACACUGCCAUGGUCGUCAAUGGCAUGGUCAACAUGGACAUGGUCUAUGUCAAUGGUGGGGUCAUCAUGGCCAUGGUCAAUGUCAAUGGCAUGGUCAACGUGGCCAUGGUCAACAUGGACAUGGUCAAAGUGGUGGGGUCAACAUGGUGGGGUCAACAUGGUGGGGUCAACAUGGCCAACAUGGGCAUGGUCAAUGUGGCAUGGUCAACAUGGAUAUUGUCAAUGUCAAUGGCGUGGUCAAUGUGGCCAUGGUCAACAUCAAUGGCGUCGUCAGCAUGGUCAUGGUCAACAUCAACAGUACACUCAACCAUCAAUGGUGUGGUCAACAUGGUCGUGGUCAACAUGGUCGUGGUCAACAUCAAUGGUGUGGUCAACAAGGCCAUGGUCAACAGUGCCAUGGUCAACAAUCACCACCAUGGCCUACAACGUUGUAGCCCAUGACCCCAUGACCACCUCAUGGCCACUGAAGCCAUCCCAUGGCCACCACCACCCCC